This 1019-nucleotide ribosomal RNA is filed under the name uncultured bacterium. RNAcentral describes it as "bacterial SSU rRNA". It matches the Rfam family "Bacterial small subunit ribosomal RNA", at positions 355 to 1375 of the family's 1533-position model. The record is from RNAcentral.
UGAGGAAUAUUGGUCAAUGGGCGUAAGCCUGAACCAGCCAAGUCGCGUGAGGGAUGAAGGUUCUAUGGAUCGUAAACCUCUUUUAUAAGGGAAUAAAGUGUGGGACGUGUCCUGUUUUGUAUGUACCUUAUGAAUAAGGAUCGGCUAACUCCGUGCCAGCAGCCGCGGUAAUACGGAGGAUCCGAGCGUUAUCCGGAUUUAUUGGGUUUAAAGGGUGCGUAGGCGGCCUUUUAAGUCAGCGGUGAAAGUCUGUGGCUCAACCAUAGAAUUGCCGUUGAAACUGGGAGGCUUGAGUAUGUUUGAGGCAGGCGGAAUGCGUGGUGUAGCGGUGAAAUGCUUAGAUAUCACGCAGAACCCCGAUUGCGAAGGCAGCCUGCCAAGCCAUGACUGACGCUGAUGCACGAAAGCGUGGGGAUCAAACAGGAUUAGAUACCCUGGUAGUCCACGCAGUAAACGAUGAUCACUAGCUGUUUGCGAUACACUGUAAGCGGCACAGCGAAAGCGUUAAGUGAUCCACCUGGGGAGUACGCCGGCAACGAUGAAACUCAAAGGAAUUGACGGGGGCCCGCACAAGCGGAGGAACAUGUGGUUUAAUUCGAUGAUACGCGAGGAACCUUACCCGGGUUUGAACGCAUUCGGACCGAGGUGGAAACACCUUUUCUAGCAAUAGCCGUUUGCGAGGUGCUGCAUGGUUGUCGUCAGCUCGUGCCGUGAGGUGUCGGCUUAAGUGCCAUAACGAGCGCAACCCUUGCCACUAGUUACUAACAGGUGAUGCUGAGGACUCUGGUGGGACUGCCAGCGUAAGCUGCGAGGAAGGCGGGGAUGACGUCAAAUCAGCACGGCCCUUACAUCCGGGGCGACACACGUGUUACAAUGGCGUGGACAAAGGGAGGCCACCUGGCGACAGGGAGCGAAUCCCCAAACCACGUCUCAGUUCGGAUCGGAGUCUGCAACCCGACUCCGUGAAGCUGGAUUCGCUAGUAAUCGCGCAUCAGCCAUGGCGCGGUGAAUACGUUCCC